Long non-coding RNA from Rosa rugosa (rugosa rose), 8301 nucleotides. RefSeq lists it as uncharacterized. The transcript is spliced from 7 exons. NCBI's taxonomy places the organism in Eukaryota, Viridiplantae, Streptophyta, Magnoliopsida, Rosales, Rosaceae. The record is from RefSeq and is a predicted model, not a curated record.
ACUCAGCUGUAAAAUAUUUUUUCAACCAGUGCGUUUUCCAACAACUGGAGCCAUACAUUUUUUUUACCUAAUUUGGCAAUCUCAGGCAUCCAACGGCCGAAAGCCAAAGAUACCAACCCUGCCGACUCAGCCAUCCAUGAUGAUAGUCCAUGUACAGAUCAUGAGGAGGCAUCUCUUAGCUCCAGACGCGUUGUCUGGGUUUUCCUUUUCUUCUGCUGUCUUCGAUUGUGAGUGAAAUCGGAUUGAUCAAAAAAUGCCUAAAAGAUGAAAUUUUUGUUGUUGCCCUCUCUUGCUGGUCUCCCUCUUUGAUAGAAGGUUUCCAGCUGUAAACAAUACCACCACAGCCCUAGCUCCAUGGAUUGAAGGUUUCUGCGCUCUCCCUCUCAAUUGAAGGUUUCUGUUCUCUCCGGCCCUCAUGGUUACUAUUAUUCUUUUCUUCAUUCGUUAAAACUGAUGCAUGAGGGCAUCUUCUCAUCGAUCUGCAACCACAAUAUGCAACUUCAUCGAUCUUCAACACCUUAGAGGCCAGGCCCGCGCAAAUUAAACAAGAUCUGAUUGCAAGUUUUUGUUCUCGUCAAAACUGGAGCCUGUGCAUGCCUGAGGUGCUGCCGAAGUAAUGACUUUUGAGUCCUUGGAUGCUUCUUGUGAUGUCAAAGCACGUGAUGGUUUCCAAACAUUAUUUAAAGAUGCACUUGUCAGUGUGACCCUCUAGACUCGAUUGCUCUCUUUGAAGAAGGAAAAGACUACAAUAUGCGACUAAACUCAUACAUCAAUGAUAGACGAGCUUGAUAUAGUAUAGACAUAUUGCAUACAGUCGUAGAGCAGUAUUUAUGAACUGUUGCAUUAGUCUAUCAGAAACUGGUCUACGACUGCAUGGAACUUGUCUACUAUUUAUAUGGAGCGGUAUGGUAGAUAAACGCCAUUGAGCAGGAAUAUGGGCCGCUGUAUCAACUUUGGGUCUUGCGUAGUUGUUUUCAUCUUGAUUAAAAAGAUGGCAAGACAAUAUCUCAUCUCGUUGAUAGGCAAGCCUGCCGGGUGGCUUUUAUUCCACAUCUUCAGAUACUCUCUUGAAGAGACUGCUCUCAUGGGUCGUCGGACGAUAUUCCGGAUUCGUAAAGUCCUCAGAGUUCCUCACAUAAUUACUAUCCCUAAGAUAGUAACGGUUGAGAGAAGCCCCGAUUCCUCGACCAGUUUUUCUGCUCGCCUCACUGGAUUCUCUUCAGCAAUGGCAGUCUACGGGAGUCUCCCUUCGAUUUUGGACGAUCCGAACGAUCCUCAUCUCUCGGAAUUGGAGAGGUUGGAAACGGAGGCAAGGGUUCAUCUCCGAGCCAUCCACCGUGAGGAGGCGGAGGAUGCCAACAGCCGCCGCUGGUUUGCCCAGCUGCGGAGCCGGUCCAACCCCCCCAUGGCAAUCGAGUGCAAAAAGUAAGAAUUUUCAUUCUAGAUCUACAUCUCCUUAAGAUCUAGCUGAAUGAGUUUUGAAUCUGCCACAGAAAAAAGGACCGAUAUUCUAAUUGUUAUCAGCAAUUUUAGACAUCCGCGUUCACUCUUUUAUUAUUUGCAAUUUUGUUUGAAUUUCUUUUAUUUUUCACGCUUUAUCGAUCUGAUCUAUCAGCAAAACUAUUAGGGUUUUGUUCAAAGCUAUUCGGUGGCCUUUUUUUUUUUUUUUGGUGGUGACAGUUGAAUAUCUUUGAACUGUUCAAAGAUAUUCAACUGUCUUAAUAUCUUUGAACAUCUUUGAACUGUUCAAAGAUAUUCAACUGCCUUUUUUUAUUAAGACAGUUGUCUUAAUAUCUUUGAACAUCUUUGAACUGUUCAAAGAUAUUCAACUGCCUUUUUUUAUUAAGACAGUUGUCUUAAUAUCUUUGAAUAUCGAGUACAUAAAUUGAAACAAAAGUUCAAGAAAUAGUUCAUAGAACUAAACAAUAGAAAUAUAAACGAAAAUGUGCCUUUUUCUCCUGCAAAUAAAAUUGAAUGAACAAUUAGUUAUAACAUAAAAGAAAGAAAGAAGAUUGGAAAUAGUUGCCAAUGGGCCUAGCAAAAACAUGUGCAGAUGAGUUGAGAACUAAAGCAGAGGUUGUCUAAAAUAAGUUUCAGCAAAACUUAUUAGAAAAGAUUUACAUUUGCAGGCUUGUUCAACCAUCAUCCACAAUAUUAUAAACCAUUAAAUUUAAAGAUUCAGUUGGUAAAAUGAAACACUGUAAUACUAAUUUCAAAACUCAGAAAAUUCCUGCAUCUCUAAGACUAAACCUGCAUCUCAAAAUCAAUCAAAGUUCCAUACCAACUUCUCUGCACAACUUUCUCAUCCAAAAUUUCACUACAACUCUACAACUUUCUCAUCCUCAUUAAGCAGCCAAAGCACAGAGAACAUUUUAAGGAGAGAUCACAAUAGUCAAGAUCAAGAUAAAGUUUCAAGAUCAAUUACCUUCAUAUAUGGCAUAUCAAGUUCUUUUUCUCCUAUAUAUACGUUCAUCCAUUCAAAAAGUUCAUAGAAUAUAUUGAUCAGGCCGUUUGAUCGACUUGUAGAUUAGAUAUAUUGAUCGUAGAAGUGUUCCGAUCGACUUGUAGAUUAGAUAUAUUUUAUUUUAUCUUGAUAGAAGGGGACAUAAUUAAGCAUUGUAGCUUGGAAGAAGGGGAUUUGAGCUAGAGACAUCAUCCACAUUUGUAAAGAGAAAUACUAGUAGACUGAUUUACUCUCAAUAACACAUAGAAUAAUUUCUAUUAAAAAAUUUGGUAUUCUAUUUAACUAAUAAAAUUUUAAUUUUAAUUGAAAUUAAUAACUAUAAGACGUAGUGUUUAUGAGAGGCCUGCCCACCUAAAGGAAUUUUUUAUUUUUAUUUUUUAUUUUUUUUUGUGAGGGACAAACUUAAAAGAAAAAACACCCUAAGCGGUCUCAUUCUCAUUGCCGCACUAAAACCUUAUUAUUCCCAACCUCUGUUGUCGCCGUUUUUUUUCCAUUGCUUCUCAAUUCCUUCCAGCAUCUUCAGAUACUCUCUUGAAGAGACUGCUCUCAUGGGUCGUCGGACGAUAUUCCGGAUUCGUAAAGUCCUCAGAGUUCCUCACAUAAUUACUAUCCCUAAGAUAGUAACGGUUGAGAGAAGCCCCGAUUCCUCGACCAGUUUUUCUGCUCGCCUCACUGGAUUCUCUUCAGCAAUGGCAGUCUACGGGAGUCUCCCUUCGAUUUUGGACGAUCCGAACGAUCCUCAUCUCUCGGAAUUGGAGAGGUUGGAAACGGAGGCAAGGGUUCAUCUCCGAGCCAUCCACCGUGAGGAGGCGGAGGAUGCCAACAGCCGCCGCUGGUUUGCCCAGCUGCGGAGCCGGUCCAACCCCCCCAUGGCAAUCGAGUGCAAAAAGUAAGAAUUUUCAUUCUAGAUCUACAUCUCCUUAAGAUCUAGCUGAAUGAGUUUUGAAUCUGCCACAGAAAAAAGGACCGAUAUUCUAAUUGUUAUCAGCAAUUUUAGACAUCCGCGUUCACUCUUUUAUUAUUUGCAAUUUUGUUUGAAUUUCUUUUAUUUUUCACGCUUUAUCGAUCUGAUCUAUCAGCAAAACUAUUAGGGUUUUGUUCAAAGCUAUUCGGUGGCCUUUUUUUUUUUUUUUGGUGGUGACAGUUGAAUAUCUUUGAACUGUUCAAAGAUAUUCAACUGUCUUAAUAUCUUUGAACAUCUUUGAACUGUUCAAAGAUAUUCAACUGCCUUUUUUUAUUAAGACAGUUGUCUUAAUAUCUUUGAACAUCUUUGAACUGUUCAAAGAUAUUCAACUGCCUUUUUUUAUUAAGACAGUUGUCUUAAUAUCUUUGAAUAUCGAGUACAUAAAUUGAAACAAAAGUUCAAGAAAUAGUUCAUAGAACUAAACAAUAGAAAUAUAAACGAAAAUGUGCCUUUUUCUCCUGCAAAUAAAAUUGAAUGAACAAUUAGUUAUAACAUAAAAGAAAGAAAGAAGAUUGGAAAUAGUUGCCAAUGGGCCUAGCAAAAACAUGUGCAGAUGAGUUGAGAACUAAAGCAGAGGUUGUCUAAAAUAAGUUUCAGCAAAACUUAUUAGAAAAGAUUUACAUUUGCAGGCUUGUUCAACCAUCAUCCACAAUAUUAUAAACCAUUAAAUUUAAAGAUUCAGUUGGUAAAAUGAAACACUGUAAUACUAAUUUCAAAACUCAGAAAAUUCCUGCAUCUCUAAGACUAAACCUGCAUCUCAAAAUCAAUCAAAGUUCCAUACCAACUUCUCUGCACAACUUUCUCAUCCAAAAUUUCACUACAACUCUACAACUUUCUCAUCCUCAUUAAGCAGCCAAAGCACAGAGAACAUUUUAAGGAGAGAUCACAAUAGUCAAGAUCAAGAUAAAGUUUCAAGAUCAAUUACCUUCAUAUAUGGCAUAUCAAGUUCUUUUUCUCCUAUAUAUACGUUCAUCCAUUCAAAAAGUUCAUAGAAUAUAUUGAUCAGGCCGUUUGAUCGACUUGUAGAUUAGAUAUAUUGAUCGUAGAAGUGUUCCGAUCGACUUGUAGAUUAGAUAUAUUUUAUUUUAUCUUGAUAGAAGGGGACAUAAUUAAGCAUUGUAGCUUGGAAGAAGGGGAUUUGAGCUAGAGACAUCAUCCACAUUUGUAAAGAGAAAUACUAGUAGACUGAUUUACUCUCAAUAACACAUAGAAUAAUUUCUAUUAAAAAAUUUGGUAUUCUAUUUAACUAAUAAAAUUUUAAUUUUAAUUUUAAUUGAAAUUAAUAACUAUAAGACGUAGUGUUUAUGAGAGGCCUGCCCACCUAAAGGAAUUUUUUAUUUUUAUUUUUUAUUUUUUUUUGUGAGGGACAAACUUAAAAGAAAAAACACCCUAAGCGGUCUCAUUCUCAUUGCCGCACUAAAACCUUAUUAUUCCCAACCUCUGUUGUCGCCGUUUUUUUUCCAUUGCUUCUCAAUUCCUUCCAGCAUCUUCAGAUACUCUCUUGAAGAGACUGCUCUCAUGGGUCGUCGGACGAUAUUCCGGAUUCGUAAAGUCCUCAGAGUUCCUCACAUAAUUACUAUCCCUAAGAUAGUAACGGUUGAGAGAAGCCCCGAUUCCUCGACCAGUUUUUCUGCUCGCCUCACUGGAUUCUCUUCAGCAAUGGCAGUCUACGGGAGUCUCCCUUCGAUUUUGGACGAUCCGAACGAUCCUCAUCUCUCGGAAUUGGAGAGGUUGGAAACGGAGGCAAGGGUUCAUCUCCGAGCCAUCCACCGUGAGGAGGCGGAGGAUGCCAACAGCCGCCGCUGGUUUGCCCAGCUGCGGAGCCGGUCCAACCCCCCCAUGGCAAUCGAGUGCAAAAAGUAAGAAUUUUCAUUCUAGAUCUACAUCUCCUUAAGAUCUAGCUGAAUGAGUUUUGAAUCUGCCACAGAAAAAAGGACCGAUAUUCUAAUUGUUAUCAGCAAUUUUAGACAUCCGCGUUCACUCUUUUAUUAUUUGCAAUUUUGUUUGAAUUUCUUUUAUUUUUCACGCUUUAUCGAUCUGAUCUAUCAGCAAAACUAUUAGGGUUUUGUUCAAAGCUAUUCGGUGGCCUUUUUUUUUUUUUUUGGUGGUGACAGUUGAAUAUCUUUGAACUGUUCAAAGAUAUUCAACUGUCUUAAUAUCUUUGAACAUCUUUGAACUGUUCAAAGAUAUUCAACUGCCUUUUUUUAUUAAGACAGUUGUCUUAAUAUCUUUGAACAUCUUUGAACUGUUCAAAGAUAUUCAACUGCCUUUUUUUUAUUAAGACAGUUGUCUUAAUAUCUUUGAAUAUCGAGUACAUAAAUUGAAACAAAAGUUCAAGAAAUAGUUCAUAGAACUAAACAAUAGAAAUAUAAACGAAAAUGUGCCUUUUUCUCCUGCAAAUAAAAUUGAAUGAACAAUUAGUUAUAACAUAAAAGAAAGAAAGAAGAUUGGAAAUAGUUGCCAAUGGGCCUAGCAAAAACAUGUGCAGAUGAGUUGAGAACUAAAGCAGAGGUUGUCUAAAAUAAGUUUCAGCAAAACUUAUUAGAAAAGAUUUACAUUUGCAGGCUUGUUCAACCAUCAUCCACAAUAUUAUAAACCAUUAAAUUUAAAGAUUCAGUUGGUAAAAUGAAACACUGUAAUACUAAUUUCAAAACUCAGAAAAUUCCUGCAUCUCUAAGACUAAACCUGCAUCUCAAAAUCAAUCAAAGUUCCAUACCAACUUCUCUGCACAACUUUCUCAUCCAAAAUUUCACUACAACUCUACAACUUUCUCAUCCUCAUUAAGCAGCCAAAGCACAGAGAACAUUUUAAGGAGAGAUCACAAUAGUCAAGAUCAAGAUAAAGUUUCAAGAUCAAUUACCUUCAUAUAUGGCAUAUCAAGUUCUUUUUCUCCUAUAUAUACGUUCAUCCAUUCAAAAAGUUCAUAGAAUAUAUUGAUCAGGCCGUUUGAUCGACUUGUAGAUUAGAUAUAUUGAUCGUAGAAGUGUUCCGAUCGACUUGUAGAUUAGAUAUAUUUUAUUUUAUCUUGAUAGAAGGGGACAUAAUUAAGCAUUGUAGCUUGGAAGAAGGGGAUUUGAGCUAGAGACAUCAUCCACAUUUGUAAAGAGAAAUACUAGUAGACUGAUUUACUCUCAAUAACACAUAGAAUAAUUUCUAUUAAAAAAUUUGGUAUUCUAUUUAACUAAUAAAAUUUUAAUUUUAAUUUUAAUUGAAAUUAAUAACUAUAAGACGUAGUGUUUAUGAGAGGCCUGCCCACCUAAAGGAAUUUUUUUUUUUUUUUUUUUUUUUUUUUUUUUUUUGUGAGGGACAAACUUAAAAGAAAAAACACCCUAAGCGGUCUCAUUCUCAUUGCCGCACUAAAACCUUAUUAUUCCCAACCUCUGUUGUCGCCGUUUUUUUCCAUUGCUUCUCAAUUCCUUCCAGCAUCUUCAGAUACUCUCUUGAAGAGACUGCUCUCAUGGGUCGUCGGACGAUAUUCCGGAUUCGUAAAGUCCUCAGAGUUCCUCACAUAAUUACUAUCCCUAAGAUAGUAACGGUUGAGAGAAGCCCCGAUUCCUCGACCAGUUUUUCUGCUCGCCUCACUGGAUUCUCUUCAGCAAUGGCAGUCUACGGGAGUCUCCCUUCGAUUUUGGACGAUCCGAACGAUCCUCAUCUCUCGGAAUUGGAGAGGUUGGAAACGGAGGCAAGGGUUCAUCUCCGAGCCAUCCACCGUGAGGAGGCGGAGGAUGCCAACAGCCGCCGCUGGUUUGCCCAGCUGCGGAGCCGGUCCAACCCCCCCAUGGCAAUCGAGUGCAAAAAUUUAUUGCAGGCCCCCGUCAGCCUCAGACCGGGUCUGAUGAUGAGAAAGCAUGGCAAAGAUUAAGGGCAAGAGUAGGAUACUUAUUUUGGGGCUCAUAUAUAAUGUAAUGUAAGACUUAUUUUGGGGUUCAUAUACUCAUAAUCGUUAGUAGUUUAAAGUUUGAGUCUUUUUUACAGUCUAAAUAAGAUUACAAAGAUAUGUCUUGCACCGGGUCACGGUUGGCACCAUUUGUAAUUGUGUUCAAAGAACCAAGGGGGAUCAGAUGGCAAGGAGAGCUGCAAAGAAAAAGUAAAGAUUAACCAAGCAAAGUUGCUAAUCAAUACCAACAAUACUUCGGAGGACAAAAUGAAAUCAAAUAGUCAUGAAUCACCAGCAUGGCGAUUUCAAAGAUAUUCAACUGUCUUACGAGCAGAAACUUGCUUGUAAACCUGGUUAGUGAUGAUUUGAAACUGAAAACAUUGAGAAGAAAUCACAAGAAGCAAGUCAAAAACGACGACAACUUAAGCAGAAAUCAUUUCCGCACCAGUUAAAGAGGAUGAACUCCAUGGAGGACUCGAGCAAGUGACUUCGCCGAUAACGACAUUACAUUGGCUAGUAUGCCUUUGAGCCGUCGGUUGGUGGUUAAGACAUUGUGGGGAGCAAUUGAAGAAAGAAAAUCCCUGCAAAAGUACUAAAAAUCUUGCCAAUUCCACAUCAAUUGGUCUAAUCCUUUAAGCUCAUUCACGGUCAGCUGGGACUCUUGGAGCGUAAGUCUGCAAAAUGAAACCAGGUGACUUAUGAGAUGAUUUUCAUAUCCAAUCAUAACAUAUACAGUACAUGAAUCAUGGUUUAUCUAGAAGUCUAUAACCAAUAAAGAGGUUAGAGACUCGGUAAAAGUUGUGCAGCUAGAGAUUGAAAGAAGCUUAGUUAGCUUAGUUCUUUUCUUUUAUACAUACCAAAUACUAAUACCAUCAUAUCAUACAGACAGGCAUUAGAAGCAAAGCAGCUGUUGUGAAGUUAUUACUUAUGUGAAUUAAGAAUACCUUAAGAGUGAUCACAGAAUGUUGUCAUUCACAUAUUGUACAGUUGAAAUCA